This 325-nucleotide ribosomal RNA is filed under the name uncultured Bacteroidota bacterium. RNAcentral's name for it is "bacterial SSU rRNA". It matches the Rfam family "Bacterial small subunit ribosomal RNA", at positions 28 to 351 of the family's 1533-position model. Lineage: Bacteria; Pseudomonadati; Bacteroidota. The record is from RNAcentral.
GAUUAACGCUAGCGGCAGGCCUAAUACAUGCAAGUCGAACGGUAACAGGUCCAGCAAUGGAUGCUGACGAGUGGCGCACGGGUGCGUAACACGUAUGCAAUCUACCCUUAACUGGGGGAUAGCCCCGAGAAAUCGGGAUUAAUACCCCAUAUUAUUAUGAUGAGGCAUCUCAUUAUAAUCAAAGCUCCGGCGGUUUUGGAUGAGCAUGCGCGACAUUAGUUAGUUGGUGAGGUAACGGCUCACCAAGACUGCGAUGUCUAGGGGUUCUGAGAGGAUUCACCCCCACACUGGUACUGAGACACGGACCAGACUCCUACGGGAGCAG